UACGUAGGUCCCGAGCGUUGUCCGGAUUUAUUGGGCGUAAAGCGAGCGCAGGUGGUUUAUUAAGUCUGGGGUAAAAGGCAGUGGCUCAACCAUUGUAUGCAUUGGAAACUGGUAGACUUGAGUGCAGGAGAGGAGAUUGGAAUUUCAUGUGUAGCGGUGAAAUGCGUAGAUAUAUGGAGGAACACCGGUGGCGAAAGCGGCUCUCUGGCCUGUAACUGACACUGAGGCUCGAAAGCGUGGGGAGCAAACAGG
This 252-nucleotide ribosomal RNA is filed under the name uncultured bacterium. RNAcentral describes it as "partial 16S ribosomal RNA". It matches the Rfam family "Bacterial small subunit ribosomal RNA", at positions 524 to 776 of the family's 1533-position model. The record is from RNAcentral.